This 301-nucleotide ribosomal RNA is filed under the name uncultured bacterium. Its description in RNAcentral is "partial 16S ribosomal RNA". It matches the Rfam family "Bacterial small subunit ribosomal RNA", at positions 509 to 807 of the family's 1533-position model. The record is from RNAcentral.
CAGUAGCCGCGGGAAUACGUAGGGUGCGAGCGUUAAUCGGAAUUACUGGGCGUAAAGCGUGCGCAGGCGGUUCGUUAAGACAGAUGUGAAAUCCCCGGGCUUAACCUGGGAACUGCAUUUGUAACUGGCGAGCUAGAGUAUGGCAGAGGGGGGUAGAAUUCCACGUGUAGCAGUGAAAUGCGUAGAGAUGUGGAGGAAUACCGAUGGCGAAGGCAGCCCCCUGGGCCAAUACUGACGCUCAUGCACGAAAGCGUGGGGAGCAAACAGGAUUAGAUACCCCCGUAGUCCCUGUCUCUUAUAC